UACAGAGGUCUCAAGCGUUGUUCGGAUUCAUUGGGCGUAAAGGGUGCGUAGGCGGCGCGGUAAGUCGGGUGUGAAAUCUCGGAGCUUAACUCCGAAACUGCAUUCGAUACUGCCGUGCUUGAGGACUGGAGAGGAGACUGGAAUUUACGGUGUAGCGGUGAAAUGCGCAGAUAUCAGGAGGAACACCGGUGGCGAAGGCGGGUCUCUGGGCCGGAACUGACGCUCAGGCACGAAAGCGUGGGGAGCAAACAGG
Molecule: ribosomal RNA, 253 nt
Filed under: uncultured bacterium
Lineage: Bacteria
Description: partial 16S ribosomal RNA
Rfam family: Bacterial small subunit ribosomal RNA
Source: RNAcentral